AAGCUUUCCAAAUUUAGGAACAUGA
This 25-nucleotide non-coding RNA is filed under the name Mus musculus (house mouse). Lineage: Eukaryota; Metazoa; Chordata; Mammalia; Rodentia; Muridae. The record is from RNAcentral.